Misgurnus anguillicaudatus (oriental weatherfish) is the source of this 1046-nucleotide non-coding RNA. The record is from RefSeq and is a predicted model, not a curated record. Lineage: Eukaryota; Metazoa; Chordata; Actinopteri; Cypriniformes; Cobitidae.
ACACACACACACACUCUCUCUCUCUCACUCUCCCCCCUCUCUCUGUUUGUCCCUCUUUCAAUUUGUUUUGCCUAUUUCUAUUUGCAUUCUUCAUUCUUUCAAUAUGGCAUCUUCAGGUUUCGACCAGUUAUGUCAGGAAGCUGCAACUAUUUCAAAGCAUCUUGAAAUGAAAGCUGACAAUGCUGAACUUGAAACAGCUACCAGAGAGGCUGAAGAAAUUCUACAAAUGUUUAAUCCUCCACUGCUGAAAAAGAAGACCAAACGGGCGAUUUCCUGGACUCAACAGACACAGUGAACUUUGCACUGCAUUUCAAAGCCAGCUUCUCAGCCGCAACACCGAGAACCAGAGUUGAAGUCAAUGUACUGCUGAGAAAAGUGCAAGAUCUGUUUAACCAAAAAUAUAAGGAUGCCAGAGGUACCGGAAGGCUCCCCUACCAAUCCCUGGUAAAUCAAGGCAUGACAGUUAAAGUUGCAGGACUGCCCAACUUCUCAAAAAGCCAUCCUAUUAUGGAAGGAACCAGUUGGAGGCCAUUUUGAAAGCUGCUGAGGAGAUUUCAUUUGAAAUCAAUGCAGCACAAUGCAACUCCACUGACAAAGCAGAAGGAAUGUCAGAGGCGAUGGACGCAGAAGAGCUGGAAGAAAAGUCCUCAGAAACAGCCACUACUGUAGCUAUCGUGAUGACUGCAGAUUAAGAUGGAGGCCAUUUGUGCUGUGUCUGCCGCUUCCUUUUCGAUGACAGGAAGAAGAAUGCUUCAAAGAAGUGGCGUUCAUGGUCACAGUGUGCCAUUCAUGGUCACACCCUGCAUGUCAAGACACCAUGCAAACAGCCUGUAGCGCUGCAUCAGUGAUAGGAAAUAUGCUAGUUACACAAGAUGUUUUAUGUUUUAACUUUGAGUUGUUUUUACUUUGUUCAUGACCCCAUCCCUACAAACACACACACAUAUUUUUUUUAUUUUUAUGUAUUAGGUGCAAUUUAAUUUUUUUCAUGCAAAUGUAUUGUAAUGAUUACACUUAUAAGAAUAAAACAGAUUUUUAAUUCACUCUAA